ACAACCCUCAGGCCCCCGGGCCUGGCGUUGGGGAUCGGCGGAAGCCCCCUGUGGGCACACGCCGUCCCUCAAAUACAGUGGCGGUCCCGCCGCAGCUUCCAUUGCGUAGUAGCUAACACCUCGCAACUGGAGAGCGGCGCGGCCAUGCCGUAAAACACCCAACUUCUGAAUG
Molecule: unclassified non-coding RNA, 172 nt
Filed under: Fusarium solani
Lineage: Eukaryota; Fungi; Ascomycota; Sordariomycetes; Hypocreales; Nectriaceae
Description: ITS2
Source: RNAcentral